GAUGAAGAACGCAGCGAAAUGCGAUAAGUAAUGCGAAUUGCAGAAUUCAGUGAGUCAUCGAAUCUUUGAACGCACAUUGCGCCCGCUAGUAUUCUGGCGGGCAUGCCUGUCCGAGCGUCAUUUCAACCCUCAAGCCCCCGGGCUUGGUGUUGGGGAUCGGCGAGCCUCCGCGCCCGCCGUCCCCUAAAUCUAGUGGCGGUCUCGCUGUAGCUUCCUCUGCGUAGUAGCACACCUCGCACUGGGAAACAGCGCGGCCACGCCGUUAAACCCCCAACUUCUGAACGUUUGACCUCGGAUCAGGUAGGAAUACCCGCUGAACUUAAGCAUAUCAAUAAGCGGAGGA
RNAcentral lists this unclassified non-coding RNA (343 nucleotides) under soil metagenome. RNAcentral describes it as "partial contains 5.8S ribosomal RNA, internal transcribed spacer 2, and large subunit ribosomal RNA". The stretch from base 1 to 120 matches the Rfam family "5.8S ribosomal RNA", at positions 35 to 154 of the family's 154-position model. The record is from RNAcentral.